AAGAAAUAAUCUCAAAGGCCCGAGGAAAGGAGAGAGGGUUGUAGCUGGCCUUCAUCGGCACGUGCACGCUCUCUUUCUCGACCUAGGCCUUAUGGGCGCGGGGCAACCCGCGUCUUCAUAAGCCCCUUCGUGUAGAAAGUCUAUGAAUGUUUUUACUAUCAUCGAGUCGCGACUUCUAGGAGACGCGGUUCUUUGAGACAAAAGUUUAUUA
This 211-nucleotide unclassified non-coding RNA is filed under the name uncultured Suillus. Its description in RNAcentral is "sequence contains ITS1". The record is from RNAcentral. Lineage: Eukaryota; Fungi; Basidiomycota; Agaricomycetes; Boletales; Suillaceae.